UGGGGAAUAUUGGACAAUGGGGGGAACCCUGAUCCAGCAAUGCCGCGUGAGUGAUGAAGGCCUUCGGGUUGUAAAGCUCUUUUGUUAGGGACGAUGAUGACGGUACCUAACGAAUAAGCUCCGGCUAACUUCGUGCCAGCAGCCGCGGUAAUACGAAGGGAGCUAGCGUUGUUCGGAAUUACUGGGCGUAAAGGGCGCGUAGGCGGCUUGAUAAGUUUGGUGUGAAAGCCCUGGGCUUAACCUAGGAAUAGCAUUGAAUACUGUCCGGCUUGAGUCCGAGAGAGGGAAAUGGAAUUGCGAGUGUAGAGGUGAAAUUCGUAGAUAUUCGCAAGAACACCGGUGGCGAAGGCGGUUUCCUGGCUCGGUACUGACGCUAAGGCGCGAAAGCGUGGGGAGCAAACAGG
Molecule: ribosomal RNA, 404 nt
Filed under: uncultured bacterium
Lineage: Bacteria
Description: bacterial SSU rRNA
Rfam family: Bacterial small subunit ribosomal RNA
Source: RNAcentral